Long non-coding RNA from Ornithorhynchus anatinus (platypus), 1019 nucleotides. RefSeq lists it as uncharacterized. The transcript is spliced from 3 exons. Lineage: Eukaryota; Metazoa; Chordata; Mammalia; Monotremata; Ornithorhynchidae. The record is from RefSeq and is a predicted model, not a curated record.
GGAAGGGAACCGAGGGGAAGAGAAUGUCAAGCCCUCAGCUGGAACAAGAGUGGGAAGGCGAUCUAACAGGGAAUAAUCUGCGGACCGCGGUUCCACAGAGGAGACACUAAAGGAAUUAAAAGCAGGGACUCAGGGAGGUCGAUGGGAGUGAGAAGUAAAAGGCGCAGCCAGGCAGUGGGCCAUUUCUGAGUCGCGUUUAAUAGUCUGUUGUGCAACAACUGUGGCGUUGAAAUCUUUACCAGAAGAUUCAUAGCACCCAGAGGGGAGUGGAGCCUCUCAUCUUCUUCCAAACCUCAGCCUCCAGCCCUUGGAUUGGAGCACCGAGGAGCUGAGCCUCAGAUGCAUCUUCUAUUUUACAGAGAUUAGCUGUCUGCCACCGUCUAGGGUUUCCCAGCUGCAACCGACCUGCAUUCCGUUCUGCCAGAAACGCUCUGUCCUUCAUCUCGGUGGGGUCCGUCAGCCAGUGGGUCCAGAAGCUGGGCAGCUAGGGUCGAGGGGGGAGGGUGUUCCACAGCGAGGAGAGGAGCUUCGGACGCCCUGGGGACCACGGAGCCCGAGACAAACCAACUGGUCUGGGGGUGACGUGUCCAGGGUCAGGGAGGCGGGAAAGGAGAAAAGGACGAAGGCUGUGCAAAAGUUCUACCCUCCGCCUCAUCUUUAUAAUCUCUCCAUUUAUUCAUUUAUUUCUUUGUUCUUUUCCUACAUUUGUUUUAACCUGUUGUUCCUAAGCUUUGUAUUCACAUGCCUGUUAUACGAAGGUCAUUUACGUAAGUGAUUACAAAUGUAAUUUUCGCCCGUGUGUUUUUCCCAAUGGAUUGCGAGGUCCUCAAGGGCAGGUACAGUAUCUUCUGUUCCUUUUCGGUGUUCUCAAAAACCUAGUACGGUGCUACACGCGAUAGGUGCCCAGGACCAUGUUCUGCAUAGAGUAGGUGCUCAGUACAGAGCCCUGCACAAAGUAGGUGGCCAGUACUGUGCUCUGCCUAAGAAAGUGCUCACUAAAUGCCGAUGAUGAAGCCACG